This 995-nucleotide ribosomal RNA is filed under the name Hysterothylacium aduncum. RNAcentral describes it as "eukaryotic LSU rRNA". The stretch from base 444 to 597 matches the Rfam family "5.8S ribosomal RNA". The record is from RNAcentral. Lineage: Eukaryota; Metazoa; Nematoda; Chromadorea; Rhabditida; Raphidascarididae.
GAAGGAUCAUUAUCGAGCUAAGACUAAAAGUCUCCGAACGUGCAUGCCUUCCAUAUGCGCGUAUACGUGAGCCGCACAGUGAGCUGCACACAUGUGGUGGUGGUGGCCGUCAGCCGUGUUUUUUUGGCAGACAAUGGUCUGUAGCUUGCUGUGUGUUGAGGGGGGAUAGGUGACGUAUUGGGCUAGUUAGAAAGGUACGCCGCGAGCGCCUAUCCUCUCGUUAUUGGCAAAAACGGUAUCCAUUUGGUGUCUACACCCUACCUAGCUACUGCCUGGACCGUCGGUAGCUAUCAAAGGUGGGGAUAAAGCUCCUCGUCUUUACGGCGAGUCGAGUAGACUUAAUGAGUCUCAGCGAGGAGGCCACCAAAACCCAAACACAACCAGUCUUUUGUUUGAAAUGUUGUGAAGGUACUUCCUCGUGUUGUGCCUUUGAAACUGAGUAUAAAUCUUAGCGGUGGAUCACUCGGUUCGUGGAUCGAUGAAGAACGCAGCUAGCUGCGAUAACUAGUGCGAAUUGCAGACACAUUGAGCACUAAGAAUUCGAACGCACAUUGCGCCAUCGGGUUCAUUCCCGUUGGCACGUCUGGCUGAGGGUCGAAUUUGAAUAUCAAACAUCCGUGUGUUUUCCAACUCAUGGUGUAUUCGGCGAGCUAUGAUGGUGUUGUUGGCAAUGUGCUGCGUGUGUGUGUUGCGGCCUCUUUUAAGGAGAGGUCACUUCAUGUGCUCGAGGCAUGGCCGACGCGCCGACAUACCUUGCUAAGGCUUUGUGCCAUAUAUCGCUCGUAAUCAUUUGCUCCAUGCGAGGCGAUGAUGGCCGUCAAGUGUCGCUCUCUUAACCAUAGAUACGGCUCCGAGCACGUGUUUGCCAAUUGGCUAUCGGUUUGGGGUGCCCGUAUCAGAAUUGCUGGAAAUGGAAGAGAGGGUGAUGCUAGGUUGCUGUCACUAUGUUUUGACCUCAGCUCAGUCGUGACUACCCGCUGAAUUUAAGCAUAUAA